Molecule: long non-coding RNA, 373 nt
Organism: Chelonus insularis
Lineage: Eukaryota; Metazoa; Arthropoda; Insecta; Hymenoptera; Braconidae
Exons: 2
Source: RefSeq, a predicted model, not a curated record
AAACCGUACUCGCAAUAAAGUCGUAUCUUAAACUUAUCGUUUCUUAUAAACUAACCAUUAUAUAUAUUUCCAUUUGGGCAAUCUUUCCGGCUCCCUAGAUGUAUACUACGCAGUUGAAAUAUUACAGUCAUCUAGAAGUGCAAAAUAGAAUCAAUAUGAUGAUGGUAAGAGGUUAACUUUGGAUAUUAUAGUUUACGUGAAUCUUGUAUAACUAAGAUAUACUAAUAUAGAGCUGAGCAUAUUGGUUCAUGUGGGUCAGUCAUCAAUGCAGAAUCAUUGCAUAAUUUUAGUGUCACGCAUCAAGUCGUAACAAAUGGUGGAAGACAAUAUGUAAUUAAGAACUGGUUUUAAUAAAUAAAAUAUUUGAAAAUGA